Myodes glareolus (Bank vole) is the source of this 1346-nucleotide long non-coding RNA. RefSeq lists it as uncharacterized. The record is from RefSeq and is a predicted model, not a curated record. NCBI's taxonomy places the organism in Eukaryota, Metazoa, Chordata, Mammalia, Rodentia, Cricetidae.
GCAAGCCUGCCAUCCUCAGACAUUUGUUUCCAGGGCUGAUCCCGGUUCUGAACCACAUAUGCCACAUAGACAGCUGUUCUGGGUGAGUGUUGCCUGGGGUUGUUUUAGCCACUGUCACUUAGAGUCCUGUUAAAGCAGAUGACUGUGAUUAGGAGGGAGAAGUGGAGAGGAUCCUGAGUGAGUGUCCACCCAGUGCCCACAGGAAGCAAGAGAGAAACAGAAGGAGAUUGGCUGCUCAGGACAACAUCAGUGGUUGUUGUCACGCCCGACUAGUUUCGCCAGUCAGCCGUAGGCUCCAAGAAAGGAAGGGGUUUUUUCAAACUACUUUAGGCAACAACUUUGAGAGUUCUGGGUUCUCUGUCUCCUUGGGUACCCAUAUCAGACAAGGGGGCGACCCAAGAGCUGGCAGUCGUCCCCAGGGGUUGGGGAAGAGGGUGGAGUAAUGUUUGCUUUAGCAGGACCACCUAGCAAAUUGUCUCCACCUUCCUCUCUCAGCGAGGAUGCUGCAGCCAGCCUACUUCUUUCCCUCUGUCUGCCUCAGGCCUCCGUUGGGGCCCUCACCCCUGCCAGCACAGCAGAGGUCCCAAGCCCACGGAGGUCCCUCUUGCCAGAGGUGCUUGCGACCGAAGAGAUCACAGCCAAGCGUGGCUUUUCAUCUUGCAGAAGACAGUUCCGCGGUGGGAGCGUCUGGACAACUCUUCCAUUCAGAAGGGAGAACUUAGGUAGGCAGUGAAGAUGGAACUGAAUGCUGGGAGAAGGAAGGCGGAGUGAAGAGAGACAACAUGGAGCCGUGGGAACUUUAGCAGAGUAUAGCCUGCAGCCCGUGCUUAGCAGGGACAAGGUGAACUCUCCGAUUAGCUUCCAGUAAUGGGCCUCUCAGGUCUUUCCAGGGACUUGAUGAAGGCAUCUGGGGUGCAGGUGAAUCCCUGCCAACUGUUCCCUUGGCUGAGUCUGAGGGACAGAAGACAGGCACAACUUUUCUUUCAAAAUCAGAGCUGAGCUAACUGUGCCUCCGAAAAAUGCUGACACACGGCCCAAAAGUGAUCAGACACAUCUCUCCCAUUUUUUUUUUUCUGCUGCUCUCCGUGAAAGCUACUGGUGUUUGAUGAACAGAAACAAGCCGCCCUGCUGAGAUUUUCUGCUGGAGCCAAGUGUUUCUGCCAAGAGUGCUGAGCCGCCGCCAUGUUGAGGGGAUAGCUAUGUGCCUCCCACUGCAUCAGUGGACCUGCAAGAUUUCCCAUUAUUCCUUCUUUGCACAGUGGUCACAUUUAAGGGUAUGUGUGUAUAUGCACAUAGACACACACACACAUACAUCAUGAGACCACACACACACACGCACACACACA